Molecule: long non-coding RNA, 1083 nt
Organism: Vigna unguiculata (cowpea)
Lineage: Eukaryota; Viridiplantae; Streptophyta; Magnoliopsida; Fabales; Fabaceae
Source: RefSeq, a predicted model, not a curated record
UCUUCAUUUUAAUUAUCAAUUUUUUUCUCAGAUUAACUUUAUCAUAGUUUUCUCCGCUCAUUACUUUUCAUUCCUCAUAUUCUUUAGUUCGCCGAUUUCUCUCCACAUUCUCUUAAUCCCAACGUCGACAACAACCACUGCCAUGCCCCUUUUUCGUUGUAGGUUGAAUCCACGACAACCACCUCACCGUCGCUGACGACACCAAGAUCGUCGUGACAAGUGGUGCAAGGUUAGUAGGGACCGCACCUAGGGAAUCAGCUGAUUUCGCGAGGGACAAUGUGCGCAUGGUGGACAAUUUCGAGCAUGAGGCACCACUUUGGGAACCCUAGAUUCGAGCAUUUGCCCAAUCAACUUCUGAAAUUGUCAAACAGUGACUCAAUGGCUGGGUGGUGCGCAAUGGAUGCGAUGGCGCAGGAGAAUAUUAGAGUGAGGGAAAGGAUUGCGAAGACGGAAAUUGUUGUGGUGAUUAUGGGUUUUGAGAUUUGGGAUUUAGAGCUUCGUUGCUGAUCUUCGAUUUCGUGUUGGUGAUCGCGUUCUAUUUUAUCGUAACCUUUGAACAUUUUCAGAGAAUCCAUCUUUCUUUCUUACUCUGCUGGGACUUCCAAAUUGUCGUUGCUAUUAUGACUGUGUGCUCUACUAAAUUUUUGUGCUCUACCUCAGGUUUUGGGCACGCAUUGUAGUUGCUUAUGCAUUUACCUUUUGGACAUGCUAUAUUUUAUCCAAGGAGUAUGAAAAAGUUGCCGUAAUGAGAUUGCAAUUUCUUGCGUCAGAAAAACGCCGUCCUGAUCAAUUCACGGCCGGACAACUAUCUUACUCACCAGGUUUCAUAAGCUCGUAACUAGAUGCUAUUGUCCUACAACAGAUGUUGCGCAAAGGGCGUUGAAAGCAGGAUUGCAUCAAUCCCAAAUAAAGAUUUUUGGUCUACCUGUUCGGCCUUCCUUUGUUAAGCCUGUCCGGCCAAAGGUGUCAUUCUUAUAGCUAUUACUUAAAUUAUUAGCAAGUUUACUAACAAUUCUGUAAUUGUAACACAGAAUUAUGUGCUAUAUAUACUAUUAGCAAAUGAAUGCCUCUGAAUUUUUGAAA